AACACAGAGAGGUGUGGUUAGAGAGAAACAGAGACAGAGAGGAAGUACAAGGAGAAAAGUGGAGACCUGGUCCAGGUAUGUGGACGGGGCGAGAUGGGCCAGGGGAGAGGGGAUGUGGGAAGUGGCUCUGAGUGUUGGGGCAGAAAGGGCUGGUAUCAUGGGCGUCAUAGUCUCAUGACUCUAAGACUCCAAUGUCCCUGGGGCCAAGCUCUGCAGAGGCCAUUGCAAUUGAAAAGAUGGGCAUCCGUCACUUCUCCUGGAAUUGCGGGGCUCAGCGUUAUGUUCUGUCAUGGAGAAGGAUGUCUUCAGGGAGAGUGUGCUGCUCUUUGGCAGGUCCGGCAGUCUGGACCUGGCAGAGUUGAACUGCUGAUAGUGAUAAAAAGGAUUUGACAAGAAGGUCCAUAUUCUCCCUCUGGAACGAGCGGUGUGCAUCCAAAUCGUGGGUUGCUAUCCUCCUGUCCACAACCAAUCUGAGGAUUCCAGAAGGACUCAUGGAUUGCGGGGUCCCACGACAUCACCUCAUCGAUGCAGUCGAUGGUUUGUUCCCGAUUCAGGCUCGUUUCCGGGAAGAAACCCUGACGGAAAUUCCGAGGAACGGGAGCCGCAUUCCGUUAGGACGUGAAUACAUGAAAUGCUCCUCUCACGACCUUCUAGAAGAAUGAGCUGGGACCCAGUUUCUGCGUCCUGCUGGAACCAGAGACGGA
Molecule: long non-coding RNA, 704 nt
Organism: Leopardus geoffroyi (Geoffroy's cat)
Lineage: Eukaryota; Metazoa; Chordata; Mammalia; Carnivora; Felidae
Exons: 3
Source: RefSeq, a predicted model, not a curated record